RNAcentral lists this signal recognition particle RNA (201 nucleotides) under Chlorocebus sabaeus (green monkey). RNAcentral's name for it is "Metazoan signal recognition particle RNA". It matches the Rfam family "Metazoan signal recognition particle RNA". Rfam says of the family: The signal recognition particle (SRP) is a universally conserved ribonucleoprotein. It is involved in the co-translational targeting of proteins to membranes. Lineage: Eukaryota; Metazoa; Chordata; Mammalia; Primates; Cercopithecidae. The record is from Rfam by way of RNAcentral.
GCCGGGCGCGGUGGCUCACGCCUGUAAUCCCAGCACUUUGGGAGGCCGAGACGGGCGGAUCACGAGGUCAGGAGAUCGAGACCAUCCUGGCUAACAUGGUAAAACCCCGUCUCUACUANNNNNNNNNNUAGUAGAGACGGGGUUUUACCAUGUUAGCCAGGAUGGUCUCGAUCUCCUGACCUCGUGAUCCGCCCGUCUCGG